AAAAAAGUCUAUAAUUUUGUGAAUUAUAUAAAUGUAAAUUAAAUUUUAAUUGCAUGAAAAUAUAAUAACUUAUCAUCAAUAAACUAACCAUACCCAUCGACAAACGUAUAAUGUCGGACCUGGAGUUGGAAGAGCAACUUGCGGAAUCCUCGGGAGCACCCAAAGAGCUCUGAAGUAGAAAAUAUUUAUUCUAAUUCUUCAGUUAAACAGGGAAAUGUUUAUCGGAAAGCUAAAACAUUUGAAGAUAAGGGCAUUUCUUAAGCUGUGGGUAACUAAUAUUGUUAAUAUUCAAAAUAUAGAAAUAUCUACUGAAGCGCCCAGUGAAGCGUCAGAGCAGCACCUAAAGCGCCGCCUAUUUUUGUGGAUAACAUCAAUAACAUCAUGAACAUGUUAUCCGUGAUUGAGAUACUUACAAAACAGGCAGGGACUGUAAGCCCAGCACCAACAAUAAAAAUAUACUCAAUAUCAAAUAGCUCUGUCGUGCUGUUGUAAGUUUGGUGAUUUUGUCAAGUGUUAUAUGCCAAGAGUUCGGACUCACGCAGAGAUUCUGCAAUAAAUCUUUUAGAUGUGUUAAAUGUGCACAAAACCACCAAACAUCCGACUGCACUAAAAGGGAAGCCGCUGCCUGUUGUACUCACUGUGGAGAAGAACUGGUAAUCAAAAUGAAUCUCGGUCUGCUUCACCAAGUCAACUUAUUUCUCACAAAUAAUUGAUCAACUCAAGACGUCAAUUAACCAGUGCAAAAUACAAACUAAUGAAAUCGAACCAUUCAAGUGGGAAUGUAAGAGGCGGGGCUACAGUUUUUAUGAAAUCUGGUAUUUCGGACACGAAACUUGAAUCAAUUCAGCACAGGCAGUGGUCAUACCUUAUACUUUCCUCCGCAACACAACCUAUCCCAAGUAUUGUAUGUGCCGAUUAUGGACCACUUUGGAAACAAAAUCAUUGUUGAUGGUGAUUAUAAUACCAAAAACACCUGGUGGAGCUCAUCACUCACAAAUAACAAAGGCAGAGCACUUUUGAACUGUAUUUGAAAUAAAGACUUGACCAUCUGACCUCACGGAAAUUCUAGACGUUCUUAAUUUUUCUAUAUCGAAAGAUUUUAACUAAAGACAUAUUCGCACUUCCCCCUGCUCGAGGUAAAUACACCGGUCUUCGCAAUGAACAAACCCACAAGUGUUCUUGGCAAAGAGGUAAAUAUUUUAAAAUACCGUACAUGGCUAGAGAACAAAGUGGACCACAAUAUCACCAUUUGCUUUGAGGCAUAUAUAGACUAUGCUGCGGAAGUCCUGACCAGAAGCAACCACAAGCGAGACAGGUGUGUCUGGUCCAAUGAAGUAAUAUCAAAGCUGAGAGAGAAGAGACGUCUUCGGCAUGCAUGGCAAAUUAGCCAACACAGCUGAGGUUCUCUGGAAACUGCGCAACAAGAGACGUAUUUGGUUGCUGCCAAACCAGAAGAUCCAGAAGACAGUCUUUGGAAUGCGACUAGACAAAACAAAAAGUCUAUAUCCAGAUGCCCACCAGUUAUCAACAGCAGAGGUCUCUGGUGCCGAACUCAUGCAGAAAAAGCAGAUGAGUUUGACACAUAUCUCCAAAACACCUUUACUCCUAACGAGUGAAAUAGAUGCUGUACAGUAGGGAUCAAAUCGUUGGCAAACAAAAAAUCACCUAAUUAUGACAGAAUUAAUGCACAAGCCUUUAAAGCGCUUUAAAGAGCAUCCAGGAAAUUUAAUCUUCAAACCUGAGCAUCUGGUUAAUUCAUAUUGACCGAUUAGCCUUCUUGUACAAUAAUUAUUUCGAAAAUAUUUAAAGGAAUAUUUUUGCGCAGACUUUUGCCUCUGUUGUAGGAGAAACAACUCGUCCCAGCUCACCAGUUUGACUUCCGAAAGUUUCAUGACACAAUUGAGCAAUGCCACAAGGUAGAACACUGUAUAACUGAUGCUAUGGAAAAUUCUAAAUACUGUUCUGCUGUUUUUCUUGAUGUCCGUCAAGCAAUUGACAAGGUCUGGCACCUAGGCCUAUUAUAUAAGUUUAAAAAAAACUUCCUUUGCCUUACCUGCUGCUAAAGUCUUACUUGCAUAAUCGGACGUUCUACGUCAGGUGUCGUGAUGGUGAGUCGGAUCUGAGACCCAUAUGCGCUGGUGUACCUAAAGGCAGCGUUCUUGUGCCUAUGCUCUACAUUUUUUCAACGACUGACUUCCCAGUAAUUGACUCUGACUCAACAAUUUUGGCAACCUAUGCGAAUGACACUACACUGCUGGCGUCAAGUAGCAAUUCUACAGCUGCCUCCAUGAAUCUGCAAAAGCAAUUGACUGCUCUAGAACCGUGGCUCACCAAAUGGAACAUUGGCAUUAAUACUGAAAAGUCCAUACAAGUGGUGUAUACCCUCAGGUACGAAAUAUGUCCUCAAGUGGUCUUAUAGGGACAGUUGCUACCAACAAGCGCAAGCGUAAAAUAUCUGGGACUUACAAUUGAUUAUAGUCGUACAUGGAGAGACCACGUGAAAAUUAAAAGAACCCAGCUCAGGUAAAGGUUUGCGUAGCUGUACUGGUUGCUAAGGUCAGGACGCCGUCUCAGUUUCAAGAAUAAGCUACUCAUAUAUCAAAGCAAUACUCAGACCUAUCUGUUCGUAUGGAAUUCAAAUCUGUGGAAGCUCAGCUGAUUCAAAUUUUAAAGUUUUUCAAGCAUUUUAAAAAGUAGUCUUCGAACUAUACCGGGUGCACCUUUUUAGAAUAUAUUAGAAAUGACUUAAAAAUGCUCACUAUAAAAGAACUAUAGAAGAAUUUAGUACUUGUAACCUUUCUUGUUUGGAGAACCAUGAUAACGUACUUGCGAUCCAACUGUUGGAUAUUAGUGAACAAUAUAGAGUAGACUAAAAAGAUAUCAUCCGUUUGAUCUCCUCUUUCGAUUCAAUUGAUUUCACCUUAAUUUUUGUAAAACAUUGUUCAUUAUACUUCAACAUCAUUGUUUUGCUCAGCAAAUUUAGUUAUUGACAUUUUAUUAAUUAGAUAUAUUCUAAAUAACACUGAAUAUUAUACAAAAAAAAAGAUUUCUAUCCAUAAGAAUGUGUCCGAAUCAUGAUCCGAAUAGAUUGUAAAACAUCCAAAAUCAUCCAAAUGUAAACAAGAACUUCAUACAAAAAACAUAAAAAAGGGUUUUUUGUAAUAUGGAUGGAUGGAAAAUGUAGCGAAAGGAUUCAACUUCAUUGUUCAACGAUGAUAUGUGAUAUGAACUCAACCGAAGAGAUUAAUAUUUUAAUAUAUUAAGUUUAUGUGAAAAACGUCAACAAAAGUAUCGGAAUUUAUUAUAUUAGGGGCACUAAAUAACACACAUUUUGACCAACCUAAACGUUUUAAAGUCAGGUGAAAAGUCGGAAAUCAUUUUAUAAGAAAUUAUUGGGGAAGAGAAACAAAACGUCUGACUGCCUUAGUUUUUGGCAUUGCUCAGCUAAACUACAAGUAUAUCAAGUGCACUUAUUUUCAAGCAAAAAUUUUAUAAAUAUAUAUAUAAAUACAUAUAAACAUACAUAUGGAGUAAAGUCAGCCGAAAGUUUUAAAAUCCUGAAUAUCAAUUGCACGGGGGCUAUGGCAAGUUUUCACCCUAUUUUAUCCAUUUUUGGUACAAAUAUACACUGUUAUUAGAAUAAUAUGCUCUCUCAAUGUCAUUAAAAUUACUCUCACAUUGGCUGAUAUAUGUGGUAUGCAGUCAACUGGAAGUUUGAAAAUCUUUUUAUUAGGUAAAUGGGAGCUAAGAGAUGUAUUGACCCGAUGCAAUACGCUUUUGACAUGAGGGUAUAUUACUAACAAAGAAAUAUUUACUUCGAAUUUCAAUAAUAUAUCUCACAUAUUGACCGAUAUU
This is a non-coding RNA of Bactrocera oleae (olive fruit fly), 3855 nucleotides long. The record is from RefSeq and is a predicted model, not a curated record. Lineage: Eukaryota; Metazoa; Arthropoda; Insecta; Diptera; Tephritidae.